GGAAGGAUCAUUAUUGAAUUUUGAAGUGGGACGCUUGAGCUGGCAUGUUCAGGUGCUCGGCGUCUCCCAUUCAUGUCCAAUUCAACCCCUGUGCACUAUUGAGAACGUGAGUUGGGGUGUGUGUGUGGUUAGUGGUUCGUUCAUUUCCUYAUUUGGGUUGAACUUAGUGUGACCGCUUGCCCUCCGCUUUCGUUUCUUACUACAAACUCUUUUAUAUUGUCUUGUCGAAUGUAAUCGCCUUUAAAUAGGCAAAGUCUAAAUACAACUUUCAACAACGGAUCUCUUGGCUCUCGCAUCGAUGAAGAACGCAGCGAAAUGCGAUAAGUAAUGUGAAUUGCAGAAUUCAGUGAAUCAUCGAAUCUUUGAACGCACCUUGCGCUCCUUGGUAUUCCGAGGAGCAUGCCUGUUUGAGUGUCAUUAUAUACUCAACUCGCUUGAUUCUGUAUGGAGUCGCUCGAGUUGGACUUGGAGGUACUGCUGGCCCUCGCGGGUCGGCUCCUCUCAAAUGCAUUAGCUGAGCUUUCAUUGGAUGCAAUGGUGUAWWAAUCAACUUCACCGAUGCAACCCGUGAUCGAGGCUUGCUUCCAAUCGUCGUCUUCGGACGACACCAUAAAAGGCAGUGAUGUCUUUUUGACUCUUUUGACCUCAAAUCAGGUAGGAUUACCCGCUGAACUUAAGCAUAUC
RNAcentral lists this ribosomal RNA (684 nucleotides) under Fuscoporia atlantica. RNAcentral describes it as "eukaryotic LSU rRNA". Lineage: Eukaryota; Fungi; Basidiomycota; Agaricomycetes; Hymenochaetales; Hymenochaetaceae. The record is from RNAcentral.